AUUGAACGCUGGCGGCAGGCUUAACACAUGCAAGUCGAACGAGUGGCGGACGGGUGAGUAAUGCUUGGGAAUCUGGCUUAUGGAGGGGGAUAACGACGGGAAACUGUCGCUAAUACCGCGUACCAUAGGAUGAGCCCAAGUGGGAUUAGGUAGUGGGUGGGGUAAUGGCCUACCAAGCCGACGAUCUCUAGCUGGUCUGAGAGGAUGACCACCCCCACCGGGACUUAGACACGGCCCGGAGUCCUUCAAGAUCCAUCAUUAUACAAUAUUGCGCAGUUGGGGCAACCUGACCCAGCCAUGCCGCGUGAAUGAAGAAUUCCUUCGGGUUUUAAAGUUCUUUCGGUAGCGAGGCGUUAACUACAGAAGAAGCACCGGCUAACUCCGUGCCAGCAGCCGCGGUAAUAC
This 405-nucleotide ribosomal RNA is filed under the name uncultured bacterium. Its description in RNAcentral is "partial 16S ribosomal RNA". It matches the Rfam family "Bacterial small subunit ribosomal RNA", at positions 30 to 526 of the family's 1533-position model. The record is from RNAcentral.